Molecule: ribosomal RNA, 392 nt
Filed under: uncultured bacterium
Lineage: Bacteria
Description: partial 16S ribosomal RNA
Rfam family: Bacterial small subunit ribosomal RNA
Source: RNAcentral
CCUACGGGCGGCAGCAGUAGGGAAUCUUCCACAAUGGGCGAAAGCCUGAUGGAGCAACGCCGCGUGGGUGAAGAAGGUCUUCGGAUCGUAAAACCCUGUUGUUAGAGAAGAAAGUGCGUGAGAGUAACGGUUCACGUUUCGACUUUAUCUAACAAGAAAGCCACGGCUAACUACGUGCCAGCAGCCGCGGUAAUACGUAGGGGGCAAGCGUUAUCCGGAUUUAUUGGGCGUAAGGGAACGCAGGCGGUCUUUUAAGUCUGAUGUGAAAGCCUUCGGGUUAACCGGAGUAGUGCAUUGGAAACUGGGAGACUUGAGUGCAGAAGAGGAGAGUGGAACUCCAGGUGUAGCGGUGAAAUGCGUAGAUAUAUGGAAGAACACCAGUGGCGAAAGCG